GUGGUGGAAAAUUGUUUGCAGAAGUUGCAGGCCACCAUUGGGCCUUUCGGCACUUAAGAAUGAGGCUCCUUUGUAUUCAGUGAGAAAGAAGAAAUUCAGCUGAACACACCCAGGAAAAAGCUCCACAGUGAGAUGAGUCCCUACAGAGACAGAGGCAACACUUUGGUCACCUUUGAUCGCACUGAGCAGUGCUUGACCCUACAUGGAUUUACCUGGAAAUUGGAAUCUACCCAACAGGGUACGUGUUUAUGUUGUCAGACAAGGACUAUCCAGGAAUAGCUGUCCAUUUUCAGAGCAGUUUUCAAGGCUUGAUACAUCCUGUGGAAUCUGUCUGGCCCAUCACUCAGACUGUGGACAUGGAAGUAGCGUUGCAGAAGACAAGUAUAUCAGUUCUUGUCUGUCUCAGUCCAUCUGGUGAAGCAUCAAGUGUGUGGGAGCACUUGGUCCAGAGCAAGGAGGUUCUUUACAGAAGAAUCAGCCUGAUGAGCACUGGUUUUCAUGUGCUUGCUUGUUUGCAUGCUUUGUGUUUUUCCAUUGGACCAACCAAUGGACUUGCAUGACUAGAAAUUCAGGCAAGCAAAUUCCAUAAGCAGCUUGACAGCUACGCAAGACUAAGAAGGCAAAGGCUACAGAGCAGAAGGCUCUUAAAAGCAAAGGCUUCUUAAAUGAAAUAUUGGUGGUCCUCAUCUCUUGUCUUCAGUUCUCAGUGACCCAGGGUUAGCAAGAGAAGUUGGUACAGCUAUUCCAUUCUCAUCUCCAGAGUAACCCAGCACAGGCCAGUGGGGGAAUAACCCUGGCUUUCUCGUCAUUCCUAGUGGUGGGUCAG
This is a long non-coding RNA of Neopelma chrysocephalum (saffron-crested tyrant-manakin), 826 nucleotides long. RefSeq lists it as uncharacterized. The record is from RefSeq and is a predicted model, not a curated record. Lineage: Eukaryota; Metazoa; Chordata; Aves; Passeriformes; Pipridae. The transcript has 8 exons.